This 492-nucleotide ribosomal RNA is filed under the name uncultured bacterium. Its description in RNAcentral is "partial 16S ribosomal RNA". It matches the Rfam family "Bacterial small subunit ribosomal RNA", at positions 29 to 507 of the family's 1533-position model. The record is from RNAcentral.
AGUGAACGCUGGCGGUAGGCCUAACACAUGCAAGUCGAACGGCAGCACAGUAAGAGCUUGCUCUUACGGGUGGCGAGUGGCGGACGGGUGAGGAAUACAUCGGAAUCUACUUUUUCGUGGGGGAUAACGUAGGGAAACUUACGCUAAUACCGCAUACGACCUACGGGUGACAGCAGGGGAUCUUCGGAACUUGCGCGACUGAAUGAGCCGAUGUCGGAUUAGCUAGUUGGCGGGGUAAAGGCCCACCAAGGCGACGAUCCGUAGCUGGUCUGAGAGGAUGAACAGCCAAACUGGAACUGAGACACGGUCCAGACUCCUACGGGAGGCAGCAGGGGGGAAUAUUGGACAAUGGGCGCAAGCCUGAUCCAGCCAUACCGCGUGGGUGAAGAAGGCCUUCGGGUUGUAAAGCCCUUUUGUUGGGAAAGAAAAGCAGCAGGUUAAUACCCCGCUGUUCUGACGGUACCCAAAGAAUAAGCACCGGCUAACUUCGUG